RNAcentral lists this transfer RNA (66 nucleotides) under Hepialus xiaojinensis. RNAcentral describes it as "tRNA-Trp". Lineage: Eukaryota; Metazoa; Arthropoda; Insecta; Lepidoptera; Hepialidae. The record is from RNAcentral.
AAAACUUUAAGUUAACUCAAACUAAUAAUCUUCAAAAUUAUAAAUAAAAUAAUUUUUUAAGUUUUA